GGGACACUUUUUGGAGCUCAGCCGCCAGCUGCUUAGGGUCAACACCUGGUGACCUGGGAGCUCCACCAGGUAGGACUUUGGCAACAUAGGCUCCAAUGUCUCCAUUACAGCCAGGGACCUCUUUCCCUCCAACCACACGUAUGCCCAGACCAUUUCCUGUUCAGGACCAAAAACAAAGACUGGUCACACAGAAAAAGGCCUUCACCUACACAGAACCACAACUUCCCUCUACAGUAUGAAAGACUUCAACAUGGUUAUGGAAGCGAGAACAAAAUGACUCAGUUCAGCACAGGUCCUCACAAACAAAAUGCUUCCUUUGUGGGCUGUUUGUUAAUUGCGCGAGAUAAUCCUGAGGGUGAGGGAUACGCCAUUUUGAGCAUGGCAAUGACUGAUGAGCAUGGAGAAGAGCCAAAUCAAAAGGGAGGCCAGGAAAUGAAAUGUCUGCCUGUUUUGAGCCUGGAGGAAUGGUGUGAUGGAACGUAAUGGCAGGGGAAGUGACUUGCCAGUUUCUUGAAAUCUGGCAUGAAUAGGAAGUAAAUAAAAUGCAUGAAGCAUACUAGUUAUGCUCUGUUAACCUAAUGAGACGUUAUGAUCCACAUUAAUGUGUACAUUCUACUGUCUUUAUUCUUUUAAAAUAAUUUGUAUCUAUUCUUAUGAUCAUUCAAAUUUAAUUAAAGGAAAACAAUGUCUAUGCCAUAAACAGUGCAUAUUUGAUGCAGACAGUAGGCAACGGGGUCAAUCAAAUCACAUGCAUGCAUCAAAGUCAAUAACACAUAAGCUUAUAAUACAUGCCUCUGUGAAUGCAUAUCAUUCAUACCCUUAGCAUGC
Long non-coding RNA from Micropterus salmoides (largemouth bass), 828 nucleotides. RefSeq lists it as uncharacterized. The transcript is spliced from 3 exons. NCBI's taxonomy places the organism in Eukaryota, Metazoa, Chordata, Actinopteri, Centrarchiformes, Centrarchidae. The record is from RefSeq and is a predicted model, not a curated record.